Molecule: ribosomal RNA, 570 nt
Filed under: Triticum aestivum (bread wheat)
Lineage: Eukaryota; Viridiplantae; Streptophyta; Magnoliopsida; Poales; Poaceae
Description: partial small subunit ribosomal RNA
Source: RNAcentral
AUGUUUUAUGUUUCGCAGAAACCUCAUAUCAAAUGGAAUUCAAACGGGAUAAAAACGGACGGAGAAUAUUUUUGGAGUAUUUGGAGAAUAUGGGAAGAAAAUCAACGUGAGAUGGUGCCCGAGGGAGGCACGAGGCAGGGGGGGCGCGCCCCUGACCCUCGUGGGCCCCUCGUAAGGUGGUUGUUGCUAUUCUUUUGCCGCAAGAAAGCUAUUUUUCAGAAAAAAAUCUCGGCGGAGGUUUCAGUCCAAUCAAAGUUACAGAUCUCCAUAUAUAUAUAUACGAAACGGAGAAAGGGCAAUCAGGGGAACGCAGAAAUAGAGAGAGACAGAGAGACAAAUCCUAUCUCGGAGGGGCUCUCGCCCCUCCCACACCAUAGAGACCAAGGACCAGAGGGGAAACCCUUCUCCCAUCUAGGGAGGAGGGCAAGGAAGAAGAAGGAGGGGGGGCUCUCUCCCCCUCGCUUCCCGUGGCGCCGGAGUAACACCAGGGGCCAUCAUCAUCACCGCAAUCUUCACCAACAACUUCACCGCCAUCAUCACCAACUCUUCCCCCUCUAUGCAGCGGUGUAA